Molecule: ribosomal RNA, 122 nt
Filed under: Arabis alpina (gray rockcress)
Lineage: Eukaryota; Viridiplantae; Streptophyta; Magnoliopsida; Brassicales; Brassicaceae
Source: RNAcentral
GGGUGCGAUCAUACCAGCACUAAUGCACCGGAUCCCAUCAGAACUCCGCAGUUAAGUGUGCUUGGGCGAGAGUAGUACUAGGAUGGGUGACCUCCUGGGAAGUCCUCGUGUUGCAUCCCCCU